Molecule: long non-coding RNA, 373 nt
Filed under: Physcomitrium patens
Lineage: Eukaryota; Viridiplantae; Streptophyta; Bryopsida; Funariales; Funariaceae
Description: long non-coding RNA (PPAT_LNC007360)
Source: RNAcentral
AUUAACAAUUUUGUAAUCUAAUCACAAAUAUUCUAACUAUCUUAGAGAGACUUCUAAUUUGAGAUCUAAGUAUAUAAUAACCUUCUAUUCAUGCUUAUAUGACAAUUUUAACUCUCAUAUGAUUAGUCACUGAUUAUGUAUCUUUCAACAUAUAUAUUAAAUGUUGAAGGAUGUCCCAUUAAUACAUGUUAAUGCAUAAUUAAUUGGACAUCUUCUAAGACGUUGAUUGAUCAAAUGUUGAAAGAAUGCACAAUUAGUAGGAUAAGUAAUGAAUCUUUUAGCAUUUUUGGAUAAUGUUGAAAAUAAUGAAAGAUGAAUAAUUAAUUGAAUAACUACUUAUUCUUUAAACAUUUUUGAAAAUAUUGAAUACUUU